AUUGAACGCUGGCGGAAUGCUUUACACAUGCAAGUCGAACGGCAGCACGGACUUCGGUCUGGUGGCGAGUGGCGAACGGGUGAGUAAUGUAUCGGAACGUGCCCAGUCGUGGGGGAUAACGUAGUGAAAAUUACGCUAAUACCGCAUACGAUCUAUGGAUGAAAGCGGGGGAUCGCAAGACCUCGCGCGAUUGGAGCGGCCGAUAUCAGAUUAGGUAGUUGGUGGGGUAAAGGCCCACCAAGCCAACGAUCUGUAGCUGGUCUGAGAGGACGACAAGCCACACUGGAACUGAGACACGGUCCAGACUCCUACGGGAGGCAGCAGUGGGGAAUCUUGGACAAUGGGCGAAAGCCUGAUACAGCCAUUCCGCGUGCAGGAUGAAGGCCCUCGGGUUGUAAACUGCUUUUGUACAGAACGAAAAGGUUUCUACUAAUACUAGGAGCUCAUGACGGUACUGUAAGAAUAAGCACCGGCUAACUACGUGCCAGCAGCCGCCGUAA
RNAcentral lists this ribosomal RNA (500 nucleotides) under uncultured bacterium. RNAcentral describes it as "partial 16S ribosomal RNA". It matches the Rfam family "Bacterial small subunit ribosomal RNA", at positions 30 to 523 of the family's 1533-position model. The record is from RNAcentral.